Podarcis lilfordi (Lilford's wall lizard) is the source of this 72-nucleotide non-coding RNA. The record is from the annotation of a GenBank genome assembly. NCBI's taxonomy places the organism in Eukaryota, Metazoa, Chordata, Lepidosauria, Squamata, Lacertidae.
AGAGCUGUAGCUCAGUGGGAGAGCGUCUGGCUUGCACACAGAAGGUCCCGGGUUCAAUUUCCCUCAUUUCCA